UACGAAGGGGGGCUAGCGUUGUUCGGAAUUACUGGGCGUAAAGCGCGCGCAGGCGGUCCUUUAAGUCAGGGGUGAAAGCCCAGAGCUCAACUCUGGAACGGCCUUUGAAACUAGAGGACUUGGGUACGGGAGAGGUGAGUGGAAUUCCGAGUGUAGAGGUGAAAUUCGUAGAUAUCGUAAGGAAGACCAGUGGCGAAGGCGGGUCUCUGGACAGUUCCUGACGCUGAGGCACGAAGGUCAGGGGAGCAAACGGG
This 254-nucleotide ribosomal RNA is filed under the name uncultured bacterium. Its description in RNAcentral is "partial 16S ribosomal RNA". It matches the Rfam family "Bacterial small subunit ribosomal RNA", at positions 524 to 776 of the family's 1533-position model. The record is from RNAcentral.